Lotus japonicus is the source of this 1242-nucleotide long non-coding RNA. RefSeq lists it as uncharacterized. The transcript is spliced from 3 exons. The record is from RefSeq and is a predicted model, not a curated record. Lineage: Eukaryota; Viridiplantae; Streptophyta; Magnoliopsida; Fabales; Fabaceae.
GUCGCACCAAACGAGCCCUAAGUAAGCAAGCAAGUAAGUAAGUAAUUAAGCAAGCAGUCUGCCGUAUUCAACGGCUCCGCCAUCCCCACUACCGUUAAGCAAUUCCACUCGCCGGCGGAGUGGCAGCUCCACUUCGACAAAGUCAAAGACUCCCAUAAACUCUUGGUGAUAUUUUUCACUGUAAAGUGGUCCGGGACAUGCAGCCUCAUAGAGCCGGUUAUUCACGACUUGGCAAACCGUUAUAGCAAAUUAAAGCUGAAUUCAUCAAAAUCGACGUCGACGAAUUAUCUGAUGCGGAGAAAGAGUUUGAGGUAAAGGGGAUGCCGACUUUCGUGUUGUGGAAAGAAGGGAAGGAGAUUACGAGGUUUCUUGGCGCCAGGAAGGAGAAGGAGCUUGAGGACAAGAUUCAGGAGCUCUGUGAUGGUUAGAUCAUUAUAUUGAUGAUGAUGAUGAUGAGCUUGUAAUAUUUAAAUAUAUAUGCAUGGUGUGUUUGAUAUAUAGAAUGACUGUGUGUUUGAUAGAAUGAGCUCUCUAAGUGUGAUAUGAUUUAAUAAAAAGUAGAAACUGUAAUAUUUUCGUUAACAGUUGAAUGAUCUAGCUGUUGUGGCCUGAGUUCAUCACCUUAUCUUCUUCCAAAAGAUAUUAUUGCAAUAAUAUGACACUUUGAGAUAUAAAUUCUAUCGAUAAAAGAUUACAAAACCACAUAAAAUAGGUGAAAUUCGACAAAGAUUGUGUGCGCCGGAACAAAACCCAAACAAGCAAGAGAAAAACAACAAACCAAAAGAGACACAAAACCCAAAAUUUUGAUUCCGCUCAAACAAAACUCAAACCUGAACAAUCAACCGUCGAGAUACAAGACCUCUCAACAAAUUAAGGGAAAAUCACCAAGGCACUACAUCAUGUGUAAAAUAUAUCGGCAAAAAAAAAAAAAAAACAAACCUAGCCAUAAUUUCAGGUGCGGCACUACCUCAUGUGUAAAUUAAAUAUAUCGCAAAAAAAAAAAAACAAACCUAGCCAUAAUUUCAUGACCAGCAUCAACAACCAUCUUAACCAUCAGAGAACCACACACACACACUCUAAUUCGGUCGGACAAACAUGUCAUAUAACGAGAUUAUAGCAAUAGCCAUUGCUAAUCGUCCUUGCAGUAGUUUGUGUUUUGCUUUCCUUAGUUCGAGAACUUUGUUGCCACUAUUGUCUGGACGAUUCACUGUCACCAUCCAUUUUUUCUGGUUGUAAAAAAGU